AAAGCGUGCGCAGGCGGUUUUGUAAGACUGUCGUGAAAUCCCCGGGCUCAACCUGGGAAUGGCGAUGGUGACUGCAAGGCUAGAGUUUGGCAGAGGGGGGUAGAAUUCCACGUGUAGCAGUGAAAUGCGUAGAUAUGCGGAGGAACACCGAUGGCGAAGGCAAUCCCCUGGACCUGUACUGACGCUCAUGCACGAAAGCGUGGGGAGCAAACAGGAUUAGAUACCCGUGU
RNAcentral lists this ribosomal RNA (230 nucleotides) under uncultured bacterium. RNAcentral describes it as "partial 16S ribosomal RNA". It matches the Rfam family "Bacterial small subunit ribosomal RNA", at positions 562 to 791 of the family's 1533-position model. The record is from RNAcentral.